AGAAGGUGAGCAGCAGGCAAGCAAGUGAAGCUUCAUCUGUAUUUACAGCCACUCCCUAUCACACACUUUACCUCCUGAGCUUCACCUCCUGUCUGUUGAGCCACUGCAUUACAUUCUCAUACGAGUGUAAACCCUAUGGUGAAUUGGACAUGUGAGGAAUCUAGAUUGUUCAUUCCUUAGGAGAUUCUCAUGCCUGAUGAUCUGUCACUGUCUUUUAUUAUCCCCAGAUGGGACCAUUUCCUGCAAUUUCCAAUUGCAGGAAAACAAACUCAAGGCUCCUACUGAUCCUACAUUAUGAUGUGUGUUUGGGUCUCCUUCACCUUUCACCACGAUUUUGAAGCCUCCCCAGCUAUGUGAAACUAAAAUGGAGAUGGAAAGGGAAGAUCUAAAUCAGAAGGCUUGGGAUAUUCAGAUGCUAUUUUUUUCAAGAGAUCAUCAAAAGCUCCCUCUUCGGUAGGACUGGUGCAGUCUGCUGGGAGUUCACUUCAGGCCCUAUUCACCUGGUUCACUCCACCACUCACUGGAGAUGUCACCUGAGGAGGCUGGAGAAGAGCAAAGAUGAGUCCCUGCUCCUUCUGCUGGGGUCUCUAUCCUCAAGGUGCACCGAGAUGAUGUGAGUAGGAGCACUCCCGCAUAGAGUAUCUGAUGACCCCUGUUAGGGGGUCUCACCCAGUUUGGUGUCAUGGGGAACAGGACCUGUUUAACAAAGCAUUUGUCCCUUGUUGGAGGAGGUAUGCUUUGCUGGGGGGAACCCACUCAUAUGAGCUGUCUGGACUCCUCAGAACUAGCAGGAGGAAAGACUAAGUCUGCUGGUCUUCAGAGACUGUGGUCACCCCUCACCCAGGGGCUGAGGCCCAAGGAGAUCAGAGUUCUAUCCCUGAGCACCUUCUUGGAGUUUUAGAAGUUCCUGCAGGUGGGCCCUGCCCAGUGAGGAGGGAUAGGUCAAGGUCAGGUCUGAAGAGCACUCUCUCCACAGCAUGCCACAGCUGGUGUGUUGGGCUGCUGGGCAUACUUCUUGGGACAAGCCAUCCAGCAUUCCUGGGUCCAGCAGAGGAAAAGCGCAGCCUGGAGCUUAGUGUGUUAGGCAGUUACCAGUCCCAGUGUUGCCUGGCGCCCCUCCCUCAGGAGCUCAAAUGGCUUAGACAGCAGUCAGCCACAGAUGUGGUACUGCUCACCCCUCCCCCUAUAGAUUCUAGCUUCGUGGCUGUUGAGAAUCUGUGUGGGUCCACGGAUGAGACCCCAUGCCCUGGUGGCAUGGGAUCAUAAGUGAGUUCUUCUGAUCUGUGGGUUGCACAGUUCCAGGGAAGAAGCAUGUUUUCCCAGGCUAGAUAGCAUGCUCACUUACUGCCACCCUUGGCUGGGGCAUGGGGGCUCCUCUGCCCCGUGAGACUCUCGGGCAGGCUACCACACCCCACUGCUCUUUCUUCCUCCUCGUGGGUCAUGCCAGCUACCCAGUCAGUUCUGAUGACAGAACCUGGAUACCUCGGUUGCUGGUACAGGAUCCGCAUGCUGUAAUGGUUCUUUUCAAAGGGAGCCUCCAGUCGCUACUGCUUCCAGUAAGCCAUCUUGACCUGCACCACAGAUACUUUAAAGAGCUACUCUAUCCAUGUACCUUUAUGAAUCCAGGAACCACAAUCAAUCAUAGAUGGAAUUGGUGCCUACUUAAUUUCAACACUGACUUGCUAUACUCAGGCUUUGCUUAAUAUUAGAAAAAAAAUUAUGUUCUGUAAAGUCACCUUUCUUCUCCUGUAAAUGAAGAUUAAAAGAUGAUUAAACGAAUCUUCUUUAAAUUAAUUUCUACCCCAUAAACCUAUUGCAAGGAGAAAAUAAUAUACAAAUUACUGUAAUUGCUACUUUCUUACCAAAACACAUGUACAGUAAGAGUAUAUAAUGAGUUAUAUGCAUUAUUCUUGCAUCCAACUCAUUACAGUCAGAAGUGAUUUAUAAAAUUACUAAUGUAAAUGUUAUUUAACAACCUGUACUCACAAACUUUGGAAAUAGAAAUUUAUUCAUUUUAUUUAACUUUAGGAACAUUUGUGGUAUCUAAUCCAUAGUAAUGCUUUACCCCUCAGUCCUAAUGGAGAAAAACUUGGUUGACAACUUACCAAAAUCAUUUUAUAAUCAAAAAGAAGACCUAAGAAAAUAUCAACGCUGGUUGUGAUUUCAAUUACAUAAUUAUAUCUAUAUGUGUGUAUGCAUGCAUAUAUUUUAUAUAUACACACACACACAUAUAUAUAUGAAGGGAGAGAAAGCAUAGUUAUCCAAGAGUAUAGCCACAUUAAUUUUUUAUAUACAAAGAGAAACAAAAAGGAUAGUGAACCAGUAGGAUAGCCACUCUACUAUCUAAUCAUGAAGCCCUUAAACCUAGUCCAGAAAAGCUUCAAGAAAUUAUACAGAACCUACACCAACAACUUUUAGAGGAAAAGAUGCCACACUACUUUACUUUCAUAAAGUAUGAACCUUAUAGUCCACAAUGACAUCCACUCUUCUCAAAGCUUCUAUUAUUAUAACUAUUUCACUGUCUUCUAUCUCCAUUUUUCCUUCAAUAGCUUAUCAAGUCCAGUAAAAAUAUAAGGGUGGCCACCCAAGGAGAAAGCAUACAUUUCUUUCUGGGUAUUUGCCAUAAAUACCAACAUAUUAUUCAAGAGACUACAAAUGAAUAAUGGUAAACUCUAUUCUUAUGAGAAACUUUUAGCUUAUAUGGGCUAGAAUUUUGAAAUAGGUCUCUCAUUGAUAUUUUCAAAUGGUAAAUCGCUUUAUUUCCCAAAAUAAAUGCAGAAGUAUACAAUUCUAUAAAUCUUUCUAAUCAUUAAUUUUCAAAACAUCUAAUUCCAUGUUGCAUUUAAAAAGUACAGAUGAAAACUGGUAGAAUAGAAAUAUUAGAUACAACUGAAUGAAAAACACAAGUUGGAUUCUCACUAACAAAAUUCAGUCACUUUUCACUGAGAAGAAUUUUUUUAAUCUUCAAGACAUUUUUAAUAUUAAGCAGGUUUCCUAGCAUUACAUCAUCCCAUAUUUUUCCCCUGCAGAGAAAUUUAAACAUGUGCUACCAGAUACACACCCAAGAGGUCCCCUCAUUCAACAAGCAAAAAGGACAUGAGACUAUUCUACAGAUCGUCCAACCAUUUUUCAUGUAAUGAAUGAGCAGCAUACCCAGUACAGACUCCUAAGAGCUCUUUCAUCCUAUGAAUCUUAUGAUCCAAAAUAUGAAAUGGACAAAGCAAAAUUCACUGACUGAUAUAUUAGUUUAUGGAACAAAGUAUUUCUAUUUUAGGUUUAUAUCUUAAAUUUUCAAAUAGAGCAAGAUUUCCCAACCUUGGUACCAUGGACAUUUUGGAUGGAACCACUCUUUGUGAGGUAGAGGAGCUGUCCUGUCCACUGUAGAAGGUUUAGCAGGAUUCCUGCCCACAUCACUACCCCACCAUAUCUACUCGUGAUGCUAGUAACAAUACACAAACAUACACACCCCCCUGUCAAUUGUGGAUGACAAAAAAAAAUGUUUCCAUACAUUGCUAAAUGUCUCAUAGGGACCAAAAGCACCCAAGGUAAGAACUGCUAAAAUAGAACAUGAUCUCUGCACACUGAAGAGAUACAAGCUAUCCUUUUGUACUGUUCUAUACACUUUACAGACAACAUCAGCUACCUUUUCAGUAUCCUGCUCUGGCACCCUGGUGUCAAGAGCCCAGGAAAUCUUCCUGAGUGGAAAAUGUCAGAGUACCUUCUGAAGUAUGUCCACAGAAGAAUCACAAAUCUUGGAGGAGGAGGAGGGUGGAGAUGAUGUAAAUAUAAAGCUGACUGUGAACUGGAAUGGUGACAGCUUAAUUAAAUAUAUCCAAGUACUGAAGGUGGCUAAUGACAUCAAGCAGGCUAGCUUAAAAUGUUUGUAUAAUGGAGUACAGAAAUUUAUAUUCAUAGAGCAUUAGGGAAAGGUUGAUUCUACAUAGCACUUUUUCUUUGGGGAAUACAUAAAUAUAUGUAUUUGUGAAAAAAUUAAUUCAAGUAAAACAGCACAGUGCCAGACACAUGGUGAGUGUCCAUUAAAUGCGUAAGUGCUGGCUGCUAUUCUUAUUAGUAGUAACACUGUCAUUGAUAAUUUUGUUGUAUUAAUUUUAAUUCAUUAUAUGCUUAAAUAUUUUUAGUGCUUAGGAACAUUUCUUCUGGGAUACACCUCUCUCCUGUCUCUCUCUCUCGCCCUAUUCUUUCCCCAUUUAUUGUUUUGCCUGUAGAAAGUUCCUACUCUUCUUGAAAAGUUCAACCUCAAAAGUGAACUCCUCUCAGAGGCUUUCCCUAGGGUCCCAAGUAAAAAAUUGACUUUCUCUUCAUUUCCAUUUCCAUAACACUUAGUGCAUAUUUACAUCAUCGUUCUUAGCACAUUGUAUUAUAGUUAUUAAAGUCUGUGUGUGGCAGGCCCACCACAGUCCCUGGCCUCCAGGCUAGGAGCUUUUGAGGCCUUAUUUACUUGGCCUUAUGUCCUCUGUGCUUGCCACAUGGUAGACGCUCAACAAAAGCACGUCAAACUCAGCUGAAUUAUCUGGAAAAUUCAAUCGUGUGGAAACCUCAUUUUCCAAUAAUGCCAGAUAUAUGAGGUGUGACUGAAGAGCAGUGCCUUCUAUAUAGAAUUUGGGGCUGCCAGCCUCAUAUAAAAAGAUUAAAUAAGUGAAAUGAUGCAAAGUUUUACCAAGUAAAAUAAAGAUUGGGAUAAAUAUCAGAACACUCCUUUAAAUUACAUACAUUUAAAUAUGAGUGGGGACAAACUGGGAAGGUGGGAGAGAUGGUAGGAAUAAAAUAUAUAAUUUUAAAAGCUGUAAGUCUCACUAAGAUAAGAAAAAAGGUGACAUAAUGGAUCUGCCAUAUUUUAAAUUUGAUUGCAUAACACUGUCAAAGAAUUCAUAGGCUACAUGGUUAAUAGGUCAGACUGUGUCUUGAAUAUAAAACAUAUCCAUAAAACAUCAGUCCAAAUUAUUGUACCAAUCUCCCUCAACCAGCCACUCCUAGGCGGUACCUUAGGGAAAGGAAACUUUACAUAUGUGAAAAUGUAUAUGCAUUGUCAAGUAAAUUACAUUAAAGAGUAAAGUCUACCCUGAUUUUUCAAUUAUUUCUGAGUUUAAUUGAAAAUAUAAAAUACAUAAAAUCCACAUAGAAGUUUUGAGAGGUGAUUCUGCUUUAAAAAUAACCACAGGUACUAGUUCCUUUUUCUGCUUCCAUUUUAGUUCCUUAAGAAGUAUACAAAGCCACAAACAAUACUUUAAAAAAUUAAUUGGAUUUUAAAAUUAGUUUUCAAAU
Callithrix jacchus (white-tufted-ear marmoset) is the source of this 5283-nucleotide non-coding RNA. NCBI's taxonomy places the organism in Eukaryota, Metazoa, Chordata, Mammalia, Primates, Cebidae. The record is from RefSeq and is a predicted model, not a curated record.